CGGACGGGUGAGUAAUGUCUGGGAAACUGCCUGAUGGAGGGGGGUAACUACUGGAAACGGUAGCUAAUACCGCAUAACGUCGCAAGACCAAAGAGGGGGACCUUAGGGCCUCUUGCCAUCGGAUGUGCCCAGAUGGGAUUAGCUAGUAGGUGGGGUAACGGCUCACCUAGGCGGCGAUCCCUAGCUGGUCUGAGAGGAUGACCAGCCACACUGGAACUGAGACACGGUCCAG
RNAcentral lists this ribosomal RNA (232 nucleotides) under uncultured bacterium. RNAcentral's name for it is "partial 16S ribosomal RNA". It matches the Rfam family "Bacterial small subunit ribosomal RNA", at positions 99 to 334 of the family's 1533-position model. The record is from RNAcentral.